This 212-nucleotide ribosomal RNA is filed under the name uncultured bacterium. Its description in RNAcentral is "partial 16S ribosomal RNA". It matches the Rfam family "Bacterial small subunit ribosomal RNA", at positions 1289 to 1500 of the family's 1533-position model. The record is from RNAcentral.
CAGUUCGGAUUGCAGGCUGCAACUCGCCUGCAUGAAGCUGGAAUUGCUAGUAAUCGCGGAUCAGCAAGCCGCGGUGAAUACGUUCCCGGGCCUUGUACACACCGCCCGUCACACCAUGAGAGUCGGGAACACCCGAAGUCCGUAGUCUAACCGCAAGGGGGGCGCGGCCGAAGGUGGGUCCGGUAAUUGGGGUGAAGUCGUAACAAGGUAGC